This 61-nucleotide microRNA precursor is filed under the name Pristionchus pacificus. Its description in RNAcentral is "mir-8364 microRNA precursor family". It matches the Rfam family "mir-8364 microRNA precursor family". Lineage: Eukaryota; Metazoa; Nematoda; Chromadorea; Rhabditida; Neodiplogasteridae. The record is from Rfam by way of RNAcentral.
UCUUCAUUUCACGUGCUCUUUCACCGGUCAGAGAGGCGAGAGAGUGUGCGAAAGGUAGAGA